GCACUCGAGCCGUACGGCAGUUUGCCCUUGUCACCUUGUGCUUGUGUCCCGAGUCCCGACCGAGUUCAACCGAUCCCGCAGACCACUCGUUCCUUCCCCAACUAUCGUUAGGCUUCUCCACCCCGCCCUCCCCGCCCUCCCCGCCGAACGCGCCUCACUCUCCCUCCAUGCAGAUCAAUGCGUCCUUCCACCCCAACCGUGCUCCUCGCCCUUCUCUCGUCGUCCUCGUUCCCCCUAGACUGGCGUGGAGUGAAGAUCCAUCCGGACUCCGAUUGAUUUCUUCUCCUGCUGAAGAAACGGAGAGAUUCGGCCAAGAUUGGGAUCAAUCUGCGCAUGGGUCGGUAUCGUAUAAGAACGUAUAGGUUGCUGUCGCUCAAUCUGGAAAUUUUGUAUUGUUAUGACCACCGUACAAUUUUCUCCAAUAUAAUUAACGACGUUUCAUGUUGAUAUGUUCUGAAUCCGUUCUUUGUUUUGCUGAGGUCCCAACGUUCACCUGUAUGCGCAGUUGCAGGUGAUCAAGAUCCAAUACUUGAAAAUAGGAUGUUGACAUGUUACUGUUUAGAUGACACCAGAUGAUAAUGCCCUUAUAGCUCUCAAAAAAGGCAGUAAACUUAUCAAGUAUAGUAGGAAGGGAAGACCCAAGAUUCGUGAGUUCAGACUUUCUAGUGAUGAAACAUCAUUGGUUUGGUAUUCCCAUAGCAAAGUGAAGUACCUUGUACUGUCUUCUGUCUCUAGAAUCAUUCCUGGACAAAGAACUGCUGUAUUUAGGAGGUUUUUACGCCCUGAGAAGGACUACCUAUCAUUUUCUUUGAUAUACAAGAACGGACAACGUUCCCUUGACCUGGUUUGCAAGGAUCAAGCAGAAGUUGAGGUCUGGUUUUCAACGCUUGAGGCACUUAUUACUUCAUGCCGUAAAAGUUAUUCAGCUGAUGGUCCAAGUGAUAGAUUAUCAGUUUCUGACGAAGUAUCACAUUACCAAGAUACUUUUCAUGAUACAACACUAGAUAUUGCAUCGAGUAUCACACGUACUUUUAACUCAGCAAAAACAGAUGUUGUAUCUGAUCGUGCAAAUAUGCUAAGAGCAAGUACAGACAGUAGCCGGCUUAGUAUUUCCAGUGCCCCUAGUUCUUCAAGUCAAGGUUCUGGACAAGAUGACAUUGAAUCCCUUGGUGAUGUUUAUGUGUGGGGUGAGGUGUGGACUGAUAUGAUCCCUGCAGAAGGAUCCGCAAACUAUUUGUGCUCCAAAGCAGACAUUUUAAUUCCCAAACCACUUGAAUCAGAUGUUGUCUUGGACGUACAACAGAUAGCGUGUGGUUAUAGGCACAUUGCACUCACUACUAGGCAAGGAGAAGUAUUUGCAUGGGGCGAAGAACUUGGCGGACGACUUGGUCAUGGGACCGAUGCAGAUAUUAGCCGUCCUAAACUUGUCGAAGCCUUAGCAGUGUCAAAUGUAGAAUAUGUUGCGUGCGGCGAGUUCCAUACUUGUGCUAUAACUGCCUCUGGUGAUUUGUACACUUGGGGUGAUGGAUACUACAAUGCUGGAUUGCUUGGACAUGGUGCUGGAACUAGUCACUGGCUUCCAAAACGAGUCUCAGGACCUUUAGAAGGGGUUCAGGUAUUGUCUGUUUCAUGUGGUUCAUGGCAUUCAGCACUGACCACAUCAAGUGGUAAAGUGUUCACCUUUGGUGAUGGGACAUUUGGUGCCCUUGGACAUGGGAAUCGUCAUACUGUCGCAUAUCCAAAGGAAGUCGAAACUUUGAGUGGAUUUAGAACAAUAAAAGUUGCCUGUGGACUCUGGCAUUCUGCAGCGAUUGUGGAGACCACUAAUCAGGCAGGUGUGAAUGUGAUAUCCAGGAAGCUAUUUACCUGGGGUGCUGGUGAUAAGAAUCCCCUAGGUCACGGGGAUAAAGAUGCUAGGCUAGUUCCUACUUGUGUUCAAUCUCUCAUUGAUUAUAAUUUCCAUCAGGUAGCUUGUGGACAUAGUAUGACCAUUGCCCUUUCUACAUCUGGUCAUGUUUUCACAAUGGGCAGCUCUAGCAAUGGCCAGCUUGGGAAUCCAAAAUCUGAUGGUAAACAUCCUACCCCAGUACAAGAUAGGCUGGCUGGAGAAUUGGUUGAAGAGAUCUCAUGUGGCUCAUGCCAUGUUGCAGUCUUGACUUCACGAAGCGAAGUAUAUACAUGGGGAAUGGGAGCCAAUGGGAGGCUGGGACAUGGUGGUGUUGAAGAUAAGAAAAAACCAACUCUUGUGGAAGCAUUAAAAGAUCGUCACGUUAAAAGUAUAGCAUGUGGUUCUAAUUUCACGACCUGCAUUUGUAUACAUAAGUGGGUUUCAGGUGCUGAUCAGUCUGUCUGCUCAGGUUGUAGGCAACCAUUUGGCUUCACAAGAAAGAGACAUAAUUGUUACAAUUGUGGGCUUGUUCAUUGCCAUGCAUGUAGUUCAAAAAAAGUUCUGAAAGCUGCUUUGGCACCAACUCCUGGCAAACCACAUCGCGUAUGUGAUUCAUGCUUCAUGAAGCUUAAGGCAGCGGAGACCAGCAGCAACAGCUCACAUAGCAAAAGAAAUGCCAUUGCUCGUCGCUCUGUUGAUAGCAAAGACAGGUCAGAGAGACCAGAAAUAAGGUCUUCCAGGCUUGCAACUGGAUCAACAGCAGAACCACUCAAGCAAGCUGAGCUGAAAGCAGUUAGAAACGAGAUAAAACCAGAUCCUAUGUCCACGAUGAGGGCACCCCAAGUUCCUUCCAUGCUACCUUUUAACAAUCUUGCUUUUGGCGCAACAUUUGGUGGUCCAGCUAGUCUGAAGCCCAUGACAAUGGCUCCAAUGCCAAUGGCCAUGCCUAUGUCACCAGCUCCUCUCACAAAGAAGCCAACUCCAGCAGCAGCAACUCCUCUUUGUGGUAAAAGUGAUACCGAUAACUUGAAGAUGGCUAAACAGGUGCUGAAUGAAGAUAUCUCAAAGUUGCAAUCUCAGGUUAAUAAACUGAAACAAAAAUGUGAUGCCCAAGAAGAGCAACUGCAGAAAGCGGAAAGGAGAGCUGAACAUUCUGCCUCUACAGCUGCAGAAGAGUCUUCAAGGCGUAAUGGUGUCUUGGAGUUCAUUAGGUUCCUUGACAAUGAGUAUCAACUAUCAAGACUUCUAUACUCCAGUUAAAAAUACAAAUAGAGCUCAAGAGCAUCGCAGAUAGGGUGCCCAGCGACGCUGCCGACGGCUUAAAAGCCUUGCAAAACCAUUCGGAGAGGUUUCUCACAGAACAAGGUGUUCGUCCACUGGAAGCCACAGGUAUGCAUCGUAAGUGCGCAAGCAUAGGCAACCUCGUAAUGUCUCAGGACGGCAGUGCUGGAAACGCGAGCAGCUCGGCUGCUUCCUUGGCGAGCGAGUCUCCAUGCCACCGUAUCAUGGAGAACAGCUCGAGAGCUAACGGCGACUUAGCACCGAAGCUCGGUGGUACCCAUGGAGAAGUGCAGCUGAUUGAGCAGUUUGAACCGGGGGUGUAUGUGACGCUCAUCCAGCUUAGAGAUGGCACUAAGGUGUUCAAGCGUGUCCGGUUCAGCAAGAGGAGGUUUGCGGAGCAGCAGGCCGAGGAAUGGUGGAGGGAGAACCAGGAGAGAGUGUUCAGGAAAUACAACCACCCGGCCAACUAACCAGCCUCACCAGACUUCACCAUUGGACACUUCAAGAAGAAGGCAAAGUUUUCUUCAUGUUGCUUGGGGCAUUGCUCCUGCGGCUGUGUGCCGUGGGCCUGUGGCGAUGUAGAAUUAGGUUGUGGAUGGGGAAGAUGCUGAUGUAGAUUCUCAUUCUGUUGUUGUUUACCUCCUACAGUUUACCCUUUCUCUAGCUCACCUCCUACAGUUUACUGUUUCGCAGUUUUGAUAUCUCAAAUUAUUCAUUCAACAGCCGUGUGUUUGGUUGGAA
Molecule: RNA transcript, 3910 nt
Organism: Zea mays
Lineage: Eukaryota; Viridiplantae; Streptophyta; Magnoliopsida; Poales; Poaceae
Gene name: Putative regulator of chromosome condensation (RCC1) family protein
Exons: 11
Source: RefSeq, a predicted model, not a curated record